GUCACAGGGAAUGUGAUAAUGAAAAAAGGUAAAUGAUAAUGAUGUGGCUCACCCUACCAUUUCUGGUUGGCUUUGAAGGUGGAAUUAGAGGUCACGACCCAGGGUAUGUAGCAGCUUCUAGAAACAGGAAAAGCCAGAGAAACAGAUUCUCCCCUGGGGCUUCUAGAAAUGAAGGCAUCCUUGACAACACCAUGAUUCUAGCCCAGUGAGACCAUGUUGGAUUUAUAACCUGCAAAAUUGAAAGAAAUAAAAGGAAAUUCUGAAGAUAGAGACAAUGGAACUUGUUGACAGACAUAAGUGUGAAAAACAGGAAUUACAAUCUCUUCCAGAAAUUUUGGUCUAAACAGCUGGAUGGAUAAAUUGGCAUCAGCUCAUAUGGAGAAGCUGUGGAAAGAGCAGGCUUGGGUAGGAAGAUCCGAAUUAAGUUUUGGAUUUAAGGUGGAGAUACCUAUUACAUAUCUAAAUGGAGUGUCAAGGAGGAGCUGAAGAUAGGAGUCCUAAGUUCAAAGAAGAGAUCUGGACCAGGGAUAAAAUGUUAGAAUCACUGGCCUAUCAGGCAAGGGUGCAGGGCAGCACAGAGAAGAUAUUCAAACUAUUUGGAUGUAGACGCUUCUAAAAUUGUUGGAAGGGAUGAAAGAAUAUAAUUCAGGGAACACCACUGGACGCUCUAUUCUGAAGUCCCUUCAUCAGAGUUGUAAUCCAGAAGACUACUACCACAACUCCAUAUCUCACACCCAUGAAAUUGGCAAAAACAUGUGAAAUGUGGAACCCAGGUGCUGAAAACACUCGUGCAUGUCAGACAGAGCUGCCACAGACAAAUGGCUUCAGCAUCCUUUCUGUCUCUUACUUUUUGUAUGAGUGCUUAUUGUUGACAGAGCCUGAGUCACGUUCAUAAGCUUAACUGCACAAGAGUCUAGGAAGUAUAGCUGCUAGCCUUCAAGUACCUGAAAUACAGGAGGGAACUUAAUGGAAUCAUAUGGAUGCCAAAGGACAAUAAAUAACAUCUGGCAUAAAUGGCAUUGAAAACUAUAAACCUAGGUGAAAUCACCAAGGAAAUAAAUAAAUAGAGAAGAGAGAACCAAAGACUGAGCUGUGGGUUUCUUCAGCAAAGGGGAGGUGAAAGGACACAGAAAUGGCCUUUAAGGCUAUCCUUCCCUGUCUACAUUUUGUGAUAUAUGUUGAUCUCUUCAAACAUUCUACAGUCAUAAAAAUCUCAGGCAAACAUUUCAUCACUUGACAGACAUUCUGCACUUGGCUGGCUCCAGGAGCAAUGGGCACCAUCUGUUUACAAUGACUCCUUGGGCAUCCAGAGGGUUCUUUUCCAUACAGGAAUGCUAUCAAAGACUUUGCAAGCAAAGAGGUCACUUUCGGACCUCUCCAACCAGCCUAUAUUCACAGAGACCUUCAAAUUUCCAGGGAUAUCAAUGGGGUCUUUUUAGACUCUGUCAGCUGUUACUGGGGAAAAAGAUGAGGAUCAAGUAAGAAGGUACAUGCAGUUGCCUCCUUGUUAGACUUUUAAGUCAGACUCCUGAGGAAACAGAUUCUGUCCCAAAGAUUUGGGCACAGGAGGCUGAUUGGGGUGUGCUUUGGGGAUUGACAUGGGGGGGUGGUGUGAAGGAAGCAGACUUGGGAACAGAAAGAAUUG
Suricata suricatta (meerkat) is the source of this 1645-nucleotide long non-coding RNA. RefSeq lists it as uncharacterized. The record is from RefSeq and is a predicted model, not a curated record. NCBI's taxonomy places the organism in Eukaryota, Metazoa, Chordata, Mammalia, Carnivora, Herpestidae. The transcript is spliced from 3 exons.